AUAACCUCCAAUACAUAUCCACACAAGGAACACAGCAAGAAUGCACAUUGAGGAACAAUGGGAGAAUAUUUGCAAUUUAUGAUAUUUUCCUGGUCCUAGACAAGAUGAAUGUGUAGUAGCAUCCAUACACUUACACUGACACGAUGAGGUGAACAGAAUGCUGCAGGAGUGCUGCUACCAGUUUUCCUCGACUAUUUUGGACUUCUCAAGUAUGAACUUCCCUUCCUUGUACUUCUGUCCUUCCUCAUAAGCUCGUUCAUAUUUCCAACCAAGCACCUCAUUACAGUCACAACAAUAGACAUCAGCAACU
RNAcentral lists this unclassified non-coding RNA (310 nucleotides) under Hevea brasiliensis (rubber tree). Lineage: Eukaryota; Viridiplantae; Streptophyta; Magnoliopsida; Malpighiales; Euphorbiaceae. The record is from RNAcentral.